AGUGAACGCUGGCGGUAGGCCUAACACAUGCCAGUCGAACGGCAGCACAGUAAGAGCUUGCUCUUACGGGUGGCGAGUGGCGGACGGGUGAGGAAUACAUCGGAAUCUACUUUUUCGUGGGGGAUAACGUAGGGAAACUUACGCUAAUACCGCAUACGACCUACGGGUGAAAGCAGGGGAUCUUCGGUCCUUGCGCGAUUGAAUGAGCCGAUGUCGGAUUAGCUAGUUGGCGGGGUAAAGGCCCACCAAGGCGACGAUCCGUAGCUGGUCUGAGAGGAUGAUCAGCCACACUGGAACUGAGACACGGUCCAGACUCCUACGGGAGGCAGCAGUGGGGAAUAUUGGACAAUGGGCGCAAGCCUGAUCCAGCCAUACCGCGUGGGUGAAGAAGGCCUUCGGGUUGUAAAGCCCUUUUGUUGGGAAAGAAAAGCAGCAGGUUAAUACCCCGCUGUUCUGACGGUACCCAAAGAAUAAGCACCGGCUAACUUCGUG
This 492-nucleotide ribosomal RNA is filed under the name uncultured bacterium. RNAcentral describes it as "partial 16S ribosomal RNA". It matches the Rfam family "Bacterial small subunit ribosomal RNA", at positions 29 to 507 of the family's 1533-position model. The record is from RNAcentral.